This 425-nucleotide ribosomal RNA is filed under the name uncultured bacterium. RNAcentral's name for it is "partial 16S ribosomal RNA". It matches the Rfam family "Bacterial small subunit ribosomal RNA", at positions 354 to 796 of the family's 1533-position model. The record is from RNAcentral.
GUGGGGAAUCUUGCGCAAUGGGCGAAAGCCUGACGCAGCCAUGCCGCGUGAAUGAUGAAGGUCUUAGGAUUGUAAAAUUCUUUCACCGGGGACGAUAAUGACGGUACCCGGAGAAGAAGCUCCGGCUAACUUCGUGCCAGCAGCCGCGGUAAUACGAAGGGGGCUAGCGUUGCUCGGAAUUACUGGGCGUAAAGGGCGCGUAGGCGGACAGCUUAGUCAGAGGUGAAAGCCCAGGGCUCAACCUUGGAAUUGCCUUUGAUACUGGCUGUCUUGAGUUUGGGAGAGGUGAGUGGAACUCCGAGUGUAGAGGUGAAAUUCGUAGAUAUUCGGAAGAACACCAGUGGCGAAGGCGACUCACUGGCUCAUUACUGACGCUGAGGCUCGAAAGCGUGGGGAGCAAACAGGAUUAGAAACCCCGGUAGUCC